This 48-nucleotide ribosomal RNA is filed under the name Calliphora vicina (urban bluebottle blowfly). RNAcentral's name for it is "partial 5.8S ribosomal RNA". RNAcentral also lists the same sequence under 3 other names. The record is from RNAcentral. Lineage: Eukaryota; Metazoa; Arthropoda; Insecta; Diptera; Calliphoridae.
AUCACUCGGCUCGUGGAUCGAUGAAGAACGCAGCAAACUGUGCGUCAU